This 375-nucleotide long non-coding RNA is filed under the name Dromaius novaehollandiae (emu). RNAcentral describes it as "lncRNA (ENSDNVG00000003487.1)". The record is from RNAcentral. Lineage: Eukaryota; Metazoa; Chordata; Aves; Casuariiformes; Dromaiidae.
CCNCCCCAAAUUAGUUCAUAUGAGGCACUUUUUUUUUUUUCCAGCAUCACCUUGGAAUGUAUAAGGAUCUCUACAGAAGGAGAAAUGCCAUGUAUGCCCAUUACCAAGACUUGCUCAAUAAGAAAGUUCAAAAGCAGAGAAUUCAGAUUCAAAUGUCUGAUUGUAGGCUCAAGCAAAAUCCUGAGCAGCAAAGAGGAAAAAAGAUUAUAGGACUACAGAAUGAACUAAUUAGGCAUGGAGUCUUAAAGAACCAACAGGACUGUGAAGACUUUUGGAAACUGAUUCCCCAGAGCUGUCACAGUUCACAGCUCAAAGAAAAACUUGAGGACAUAAAAUCAAAAAGUUGGGUUUCUUACACAUUUGGUCAUACCUGAA